Molecule: ribosomal RNA, 318 nt
Filed under: Triticum aestivum (bread wheat)
Lineage: Eukaryota; Viridiplantae; Streptophyta; Magnoliopsida; Poales; Poaceae
Description: partial small subunit ribosomal RNA
Source: RNAcentral
AUGGCCGCAGUCUCCAAGAUCCUUUCAUUGCACCCUGGGCCAGCCAAACGCCUUGACAUCCGCAUGUUCAGUACCAACUGCAAGGUCCAACCCAAGUUCGAUGAGUGGUUCUUAUCCCCCGCCCUAGACCAGAUCGAGGAGCUCAGCUUUGAAGCUGGACGAUGUCGCUCUCUGCCGCCCUCCGCGCUCCUCCUCACGCCAACACUGUGCCGCGCCAGCUUCAGCUCCUGCUAUCUUCCCCAGAUUAAUGUCGCGCCCACCCUUCUUCUCCCUCAACUCAAGCAGCUCGACCUCUUCGACGUUGUUAUCUCGAAGUAG